CAGGACUCGCAAGACUCCUACAACCCUGUGAACUUCACUACAAGCACGUUGCUUCGGCGGGUGUCUCGGCGGAGGUCCCCACUGGGGACCUGCGCAGGGGCGCGAAGCCCGCCGGCAGCCUACUAUACUCUGCCUCUUUGCGUUGGCAUCUCAAGAAAAAGCAAACAAGUUA
This 172-nucleotide unclassified non-coding RNA is filed under the name soil metagenome. RNAcentral describes it as "partial internal transcribed spacer 1". The record is from RNAcentral.